RNAcentral lists this ribosomal RNA (505 nucleotides) under uncultured bacterium. Its description in RNAcentral is "partial 16S ribosomal RNA". It matches the Rfam family "Bacterial small subunit ribosomal RNA", at positions 28 to 507 of the family's 1533-position model. The record is from RNAcentral.
GACGAACGCUGGCGGCGUGCCUAAUACAUGCAAGUAGAACGCACAGUUUAUACCGUAGCUUGCUACACCAUAGACUGUGAGUUGCGAACGGGUGAGUAACGCGUAGGUAACCUGCCUGGUAGCGGGGGAUAACUAUUGGAAACGAUAGCUAAUACCGCAUAAUAUUGAUUAUUGCAUGAUAAUUGAUUGAAAGAUGCUAUUUCAUCACUACCAGAUGGACCUGCGUUGUAUUAGCUAGUAGGUGAGGUAACGGCUCACCUAGGCGACGAUACAUAGCCGACAUGAGAGGGUGAUCGGCCACACUGGGACUGAGACACGGCCCAGACUACUACGGGAGGCAGCAGUAGGGAAUCGUCGGCAAUAGACGAAAGUCUGACCGAGCAACGCCGCGUGAGUGAAGAAGGUUUUCGGAUCGUAAAGCUCUGUUGUAAGAGAAGAACGGGUGUGAGAGCGGAAAGUUCACAAUGUGACGGUAUCUUACCAGAAAGGGACGGCUAACUACGUG